CAGGGAGACAACACAAUGAUUUUGAUGCCUGAGUGCUUUUAUUCUUAGGCCGAAAUCCUGUCACCUUAGGUCGAUCGGUACCUCAGCUUUGAAGUUAAGGAUCAGCAGCAAUGUUGAUUGCUUGAUGGAGAUUUUCAGUUCCUAAACUUUGUCUAGGUCACACCCCAAAAGGGAUGAGACUCCUGGGCCAUUAGCUCAGGUGGUUAGAGCGCACCCCUGAUAAGGGUGAGGUCCCUGGUUCAAGUCCAGGAUGGCCCAUUCGGUGUUGGGGGUUUAGCUCAGUUGGUAGAGCGCCUGCUUUGCAAGCAGGAUGUCAGGAGUUCGAGUCUCCUAACCUCCACUGACCGAACUUGAUUCCCAUCUCCAAUUUUUUGGAGUUGAGCUCGAUUGGAGUGUGAUUUAGAUGUGUCCGCUGGAUGACCCCAGCUUCCUGUCAUUCCAAGUUUUAGGUUGAAGCCUUGAAUUUGGUUGAUAAGAUGCUGGGCUCGGAUCAAAUGAUCAAUCAAUUGAUGAUUUGAUUUGAAGUUCUAGCAGAACCUUGACAACUGCAUAGGUGAGUCUGGAAAAAACAAAGCAUCUUACAGAUGCAUUGUUUUGAAUCUGAUCUUCUGAAAGGGAGAUUGGAUCUAGAACAAUGAAAAUUCUUUUGAGCAAGAGCCGAGACUCUUGAGCGUUCUUUGAUUGGUGUCGAGCCAAUCAGAGUUUGAUCUUGUUUUUAGCAAUAAAAACUUGAGAAUCUGCUUUCAGCGGUGGUAAGCGUUCAGGAGGUUAAUU
RNAcentral lists this transfer RNA (774 nucleotides) under uncultured cyanobacterium. RNAcentral describes it as "partial contains 16S ribosomal RNA, 16S-23S ribosomal RNA intergenic spacer, and 23S ribosomal RNA". The stretch from base 268 to 340 matches the Rfam family "tRNA". Lineage: Bacteria; Bacillati; Cyanobacteriota. The record is from RNAcentral.